This 253-nucleotide ribosomal RNA is filed under the name uncultured bacterium. Its description in RNAcentral is "partial 16S ribosomal RNA". It matches the Rfam family "Bacterial small subunit ribosomal RNA", at positions 524 to 776 of the family's 1533-position model. The record is from RNAcentral.
UACGUAGGGUGCGAGCGUUGUCCGGAAUUACUGGGCGUAAAGAGCUCGUAGGCGGUUUGUCGCGUCGAUCGUGAAAACUAGCAGCUCAACUGUUAGCUUGCGGUCGAUACGGGCAGACUUGAGUACUGCAGGGGAGACUGGAAUUCCUGGUGUAGCGGUGAAAUGCGCAGAUAUCAGGAGGAACACCGGUGGCGAAGGCGGGUCUCUGGGCAGUAACUGACGCUGAGGAGCGAAAGCGUGGGUAGCGAACAGG